This 212-nucleotide long non-coding RNA is filed under the name Nicotiana benthamiana. RNAcentral's name for it is "long non-coding RNA (NBEN_LNC042116)". The record is from RNAcentral. Lineage: Eukaryota; Viridiplantae; Streptophyta; Magnoliopsida; Solanales; Solanaceae.
CCAUAACUUCAUAUAAAUCAGAUCCCUUUUCAAUAUUAUCCCUCAAAAAGUAAUGUUGCACAUCAAUGUGCUUUGUCCUCCAGUAUUGUACCAGGUUCAAGCUGUAAAUACACCAAAGUCUUCAAGAUGUUGCUUGAUCUGUAGUUGUUGAGCAUAAUAAGAAGCAUCAACCACGUAUUCAGCUUCAGCAUUAGAAAGAGACACAAAGUUUG